This is a long non-coding RNA of Melospiza melodia melodia, 248 nucleotides long. RefSeq lists it as uncharacterized. The transcript has 3 exons. Lineage: Eukaryota; Metazoa; Chordata; Aves; Passeriformes; Passerellidae. The record is from RefSeq and is a predicted model, not a curated record.
GUCCACUUGGUGAUCUGUUGGCAGUGCUUAAGAAGGAAAUUGUGCAGGACUCAUCUGCAGAGCUUCCCAGUCACAGACCAGUGUUUCAUGGGAGCAACAAACAGUGGAGGCCUGUGGCCAGGAGAGUGGCUCCAGUGUCCAGCUCCCAUAGAAGGUAUUGAAGAUGGCAGUAGGGUUUCACUUCAUCUGCAGCUCCAGGGAUUUUAUCCUUCUCUUGGACAUCACUGGAAUACAGAGCUUUUUGCCCC